UAAAUAUUCCGAUUAACAUAAACAAUAAUAAGAAUAAAAACGAGAAUAAAAAGUUAUUGAUCAUAAAAAAACCACACACCAUCAAAUUAUUACCAUAUGGUAUUUUAUACAAUCUCUAUUCAAGCCUUUGCUUUGAGCAAUGCCCUUUACUGGGAUGUAUCUACUGAUAUCUGUAAUGCUAAGUAGGGAACUACUAUAUUUUGGAAGGACCGAAAGCUUUAUGUUCUGGCAUAACCCACCGAAUUUAUUGGUACUUCAGAUGUAUUCGAACCAAGAUGGCGGACACCGGAACAUAGUUUGUGUACCAGGUUAGUGUCGGCUAUAAUUUCAGGUACAAAUACUACGGGAGUCACUCGGCUAGUCCCUUAACUCGUAACAGAACUAAAAUAAGAAAAAUUGGAAUAAAAUUAUGGCCUAACCCUAAUCUGGUACACAUACUUCGGGAGUGCCCAUUUAUUAUGAACUGGGCUAAGGAACCAGGAUUUGAGAUUUAAUGAGCUUUCAGUUCAUUACACAUUAUGAGAAGUAAUCAACGAAUACCAAGCAAUAGCUUAGGCAUAUAGCUGAAUUUUUAGUGCAAUCAGAGUUAUGCAAUUUGCGUUUUAAACUCUGCCUAUAUGUAAAGAUAUACCAAUCCUAGCCAAAUCUUCAAUCAGUAUUUAGUCAAGGUUAGAGCAUAUUCAAUAAAAGCAGCAAUAAAGUAACGAACGUAUCAGUAACAUCAGGAAUAAAUUGAUAAUAAGUCAUUUUACAAGUCAAAAGGAAUAAAAAUUAUUUCAAUUAUUCCAUAACUAGACAAGAAAACCAAGGUUAGAUAUAAAAACAUCUUAUAACUUUGAAUUCAUUCUGAUUUACAUUCGGCGAAUAUAGUAAGGACAUUAUAGGGAAUUUAUGCAAUUUGAUAAAAGGUUCUACUUCAAGAUUCAGAAUUUUUUUUCUAUUCGUUAAUUUUUUUAAAGUGAUAUUGGGAUAUUUCAUACCAUCAAUGAAUAUUCAAUCUAUUUCAUUCACACAGACCAUAUCAAAAUAGAUACAGCACUUAGAAAUUAAUUUUUCAAAAAUUCAUAAUGAAAACAAUAUAACUGUCAAAUUUUCAGAAUGAUAAUUGGUAUAAUUCAUAACUUUGAUUUUGAAAAAUAAAUCCAUUUCUAUUAUUAGAAACAAAUGAAUGACAAAUUUAAUUACGAAAUUUUAAAUAUGACAUUUCAUUGCAAGGAACAAAAAUUUUUCAAAUUAUUUGCGCAUUUUCAAUAAAAACAAUAUAUCUGGUAAUUUUUAAAGUAAGAUUCGGUACAAUUCAUAACUUCAAAUAAAAAAAACAUUUUUAAGUAUCCUAGACCCUAGUUCUCAAAUACAAAACAAGAUCUCAGAAAUGACAUUUCAUUGCAAAAAGCAAAUAUUUUCUGAAAUUAUUAGAGCAUUUUUGAUGAAAAUAAUAUAUCUCUCGAAUUUUGAGAAUUAGAUUUGGUAUAAUCCACAAUAUUAAUUAAAAAUUUGCAAAACUUUAGGUCUGGAAUCCAAAACUACUUGAAAAUUGCAUUCACAUAUAUCGAGAAUAAAGACAAAAUUAGGCGCUCCAGAAGUAUGUGUACCAUGGAGGUAACUAAUUUUGUUCUCCUAUUUUACAUCAAGUUGUGUAAAGGGACUAAAACCUAUGGGCAGGGGGUAUACUUGGCUUAAAACAGAAAGUCCCCAACAUGUAAUAGAACCACCGGUAAAAUAAGGAAAAUCGGAAUAAAAUUAUGGCCUAACCCUAACUUGAUGCAUAUACUGCGAGAGUACCCAGAAUUAUAAAGAUAUAACUGGUAUGAAUGAAAUUACCAGAGUGUCCAUGAGUUCAUUUCAUAAAUAUUCAGCAUAAAAAUACACAAACAAAAAAGUUCAUUUUCAAAUGUGCGUAAUUAAUCUCUUAAAAUGGUGAGGCAGCACUGGCAGAGACUCAAAAAAUUCAUUAGUAAAAUAACAAUCAGCCAAUCUAAUAAAAAAAACUCAGUGGCAACUAUCAGACUCACAAAGUGACUCCCAUCAUCUAAAUGGAAUGAAUCGAGCUCUUAAUAUUCUUCCAAAAGAGUAGUUUUUAAACAGGGUUCCAAAUUCUAGAGUUUCGCCAGUGCAGUCAACAGAUUCUCCAAUUUCCAUUCAAAUCAGGGUUUCUAUAUUAUUAUAUGUAUAUUGGUAUAAUAUAGGGUGUCCAUUAAGUCUCAAAAUUAUUUAAAACUGCAAAGGGAAUUUAUUGAUACCAUAUAUAUUGUUUUGGCCCUCACAGAUGUAUUAAAUGAAUUAAAAAUCUGUAAACAAGUACUGAUUAAAAAACAACAAACCUGGUCAAGAUAUAUUGAGAAUUGAAUUUAUAACAAAAUUGAAAUUGUAAAGAGAUAUUAUGGACACUCUGUAUAAUGAAAUAUCUAUUAUUGAACUGUUCUGCCAGAGCAUUAGAUUUGAUUUCAUAUAUAUUUUUAGUUUAUACAAUAUAAACAACUAAAAUAUAACCUCGAGUGUCUGGGAGGUUACAUUCAUGCACCACCGAAGAUUGUGAAUCGAAUACCAUUAUAAACAAACAUAGCUUUACAAGUGAAAAUGAUUAUGAAAUAACAAAUAAAAACAGAGAAAUAGUGAAAAAAUAUAUACAAGAAAGAUCAUUGCGGAAUUAUUAAAUGAGGAAAAAAUAGUUCUUUAAAAUAUUUAAAACACAAACUAAGCAGAUUGAAGUUGAAAAAGGAACAGUUCUUAUAUUGUAUUUUUGAUUGCUUAUAGAAAUGGUCCAUUCCUUCAUCUAUUUGCG
Styela clava is the source of this 2782-nucleotide non-coding RNA. The record is from RefSeq and is a predicted model, not a curated record. NCBI's taxonomy places the organism in Eukaryota, Metazoa, Chordata, Ascidiacea, Stolidobranchia, Styelidae.